GAUGAAGAACGCAGCGAAAUGCGAUAAGUAAUGUGAAUUGCAGAAUUCAGUGAAUCAUCGAAUCUUUGAACGCACAUUGCGCCCGCCAGCAUUCUGGCGGGCAUGCCUGUUCGAGCGUCAUUUCAACCCUCGCAGCCCAUCUGGGCAGCGGUGUUGGGGACCGGCACCACCGGCGAAGCCCUUAGGGGCCCAGCCGGCGCCGCCCCCGAAAUACAGUGGCGGUCUCGCUGCAGCCUCCCUUGCGUAGUAGCACACCUCGCACCGGAGCGCAGCGCGGCCACGCCGUAAAACCCCCGACUUUCUGAGUUUGACCUCGAAUCAGGUAGGAAUACCCGCUGAACUUAAGCAUAUCAAUAAGCGGAGGA
RNAcentral lists this unclassified non-coding RNA (365 nucleotides) under soil metagenome. RNAcentral's name for it is "partial contains 5.8S ribosomal RNA, internal transcribed spacer 2, and large subunit ribosomal RNA". The stretch from base 1 to 120 matches the Rfam family "5.8S ribosomal RNA", at positions 35 to 154 of the family's 154-position model. The record is from RNAcentral.